UACGCACGCUGGCGGCGUGCUUAACACAUGCAAGUCGAACGGAAAGGCCCUGCUUUUGUGGGGUGCUCGAGUGGCGAACGGGUGAGUAACACGUGAGUAACCUGCCCUUGACUUUGGGAUAACUUCAGGAAACUGGGGCUAAUACCGGAUAGGAGCUCCUGCUGCAUGGUGGGGGUUGGAAAGUUUCGGCGGUUGGGGAUGGACUCGCGGCUUAUCAGCUUGUUGGUGGGGUAGUGGCUUACCAAGGCUUUGACGGGUAGCCGGCCUGAGAGGGUGACCGGCCACAUUGGGACUGAGAUACGGCCCAGACUCCUACGGGAGGCAGCAGUGGGGAAUAUUGCACAAUGGGCGGAAGCCUGAUGCAGCGACGCCGCGUGCGGGAUGACGGCCUUCGGGUUGUAAACCGCUUUCGCCUGUGACGAAGCGUGAGUGACGUGAAUGGGUAAAGAAGCACCGGCUAACUACGUG
RNAcentral lists this ribosomal RNA (468 nucleotides) under uncultured bacterium. Its description in RNAcentral is "partial 16S ribosomal RNA". It matches the Rfam family "Bacterial small subunit ribosomal RNA", at positions 29 to 507 of the family's 1533-position model. The record is from RNAcentral.